Molecule: long non-coding RNA, 4470 nt
Organism: Ficedula albicollis (Collared flycatcher)
Lineage: Eukaryota; Metazoa; Chordata; Aves; Passeriformes; Muscicapidae
Exons: 3
Source: RefSeq, a predicted model, not a curated record
UACUGCCAAAAGGUUUAUUUUACACUCGAGUUGCAAAUGAAUAUUGUGUAUACAUCAUACAGGAUGCAGGAGUAAUACAUGUACAUAUUUGUCAGUAACAACAAACUUCCAGAAAAUAAAACAUCCUAAGUUCUCUCUUUGUUCCAAUACUUGACUUACCUUUUUGCAAUAUAAAGACCAUUUAGGAGUGGCAGAAGAACAAAGAAUGGUCAUAACCUGUAACUGAGGAGUUUCUGGGUGCACACAAGGCAAACAAGUGAGGCACAGGAACAGGCUGCCCACAGAAGCUGCACAAUCACACUCCCCUGAGGCUUUCCAGAUCUUGCUGAAGCCUCAAGCCCUGCCUGGAAUUCAGCACUGACUCAGCUCUCAGCAGGAAGCUGGACUAGAGACUUCGCUCAAGAUCCAUUCCAAUCUGAAUGGUUACAAAAUUUGAUUAAAACACAAUCAGCAGCCAAAUUCAAACAAACCAGUGCAUGCCUCCUAUCUUCCCCACUCCCAACAAAAAAACAACACCCAUCUUUAAUGAAUCAUCUUUACAACAGUCCAGCAUGACUUAAAUCAAAGAAACAAGCAGCAAAUUAAGUGUACUGGAGAAGACCGACACCACAUUAAAAGGCCUUUGCACGACUUAAAAUUCUUUUUGUAACAGCAAACAGAGAUUUUUUUUCAACUGCUCUUUACACAUUUGCAAUUAUCAGCUGCAUUACAACACCAUAUAUAUUCCUAGUCAUUUUAAACUGGGAGAUCUCCUGUCCACACUGAGAAAGUUUCUAGUGGCCCUUGAUACACUGGCAGUGCCAUAUUGCCUUCAAGUGUCCCAGGGAAGCCAGAGAAACAGGGCUGGGAGAUGGAAAGGAAGUAAGGAAUCCCAGAACAUCUGUUUUAUCCUGGGGACAAUCUCUCUUCCUUUUGAGACCUCUUACUAUUGCUAGGGUUUAAAUGAAAAGCAAGUGGAACUAUCAGCAAGGACUCAGUAAUUUCCUAUUUUUAAUUCCAUAUGACAGAAAAUGGCAAUUAGACAAAAGCUGUAAGGCUGACACCCAUCACUAAGGCAGCUGUAGAACUGCAUACUGUAAUAUAAGCCAGGCAACAAGGAAUAAAUGUAAAACCUGAAAAGUACUAGAUUUUUUUUUGUGCCAGCAAACAACUGAUUCUCUAAAACAAAAUAAUUACUGUGGUGCAAAUAAAAAGUCAAUAAAUGUGUGUAUACCCACACCAAAUGUGACAUUCAGCUCUAUAACCCCCAGUUCCAAAACACUGAACUUGUCAGUUUUACAGAGAUUUUUGUUUCUCAAUCUCAACAUAUCUCAGGAUAAUUAUGAGCAGUCAAAGGCCAGACAAUUUGACCAACAGUGAAUCUCUGCAAACACACAACCUUCCACCUCUGAAAGCCUGCUAAAAGUGUGAAGUCAGACUGUGCAUCCACACAGAAACCAUGCACCCACCAGAGAGGCAGUUUUGGUUUGGUUUUAUGUUAGGGCAGCAUGGCUAGAGAAGCAGUAGAGCACUGAGCUCAGUCCUGCACCUGGAGGGUCUGGGUGGCACAGAAGUAAGAGGAGCACCGUGCCCAACUCUGUGUCCAGCCAGGAAAGCUCUUAGGCACGUUCUUAUUUCAAGCAACACUUAAAAGCACCAAAAUCAAGUUGCUAUAGCAAGAAAACAACUGUUAGCUGUACGUGCAAGAACAAGACAAAGUUACACACAGUUAAUACAAAGCAAUUAUGGGAAAAAUCUUUAUCUGAAAUGACAAAACUAAAGGCCCAAAUUCAAGGACUUUCGAUGUACUUGCAGAAACAAUCUAUUUCAAUUCCACAGUACUGAAAUAAGAUCAGAUUUGUGGGAUUCGGGUCUCUUUAAAACACAAAGCAAGUAAUAAUUUGAUGGAGUUCCUUCUUCAGCACACAAAACAGUGAAAGUCCAAUGACAGUUUAGUCAAUUUUGAGACUUUGAAGGGAGAAAAGAAGCCAAAUUGACACAGAGGUUAAAUCAGUGAAGAUAAAAGAUAAGAAAGAACAGAUAGUGAAGAGGGCUGGACUCUGAUACAUCUAACUCCGAGACAUUUGAUACGCAGGCAUGGGACAAGUGUCAGAGAUAGAAAGGUUGUGGCCUUGGAAAACAGGCAAGUAAAAUUGUCAGGGAUGUUAGAAAAUAGUCUAGAGGGAGUCAGAAAUAAAAAUUAGGCCUUCGAAUCUGAACAGAUCUGAGGCUGGCUGGAUACUAAAGAAAUAGUCUGAAGACAGAACCAUGGGAGAACCAGACUAGGGGAGAAAAGCACUGGAUUUUUGGGGCAUUCAAAUAAAGUGUAACAUAAAAAUACAAGAACAAACUGGAGAAAGGGUUUUUAGGUGCACGAAAUUAGAAGAGAGGGAGAAAAAAGAACAAAGUAUUAGAAACCAGAAACAGUGAUGAUGAUAGGUGCCAUCCUCUUAAAGACAGAUGAAAGAGAAACUUGGUUGCUACUUAAGGAAGAAGUAAUUCAGUGAAAGGAAUGAGAGGCAUAAAAGGUACAGAAAUAAAAAUGGCAAACUUGCACAAUUAAGAGGCAGAGAAGCUCAAUUCAGAAACAGAUUCUGAGAAUAAAAACAACUUUGAAAAGGAUCUUGUAUCAAGAAUGAAUGAAGAAUGAAAAUGAACAGCAGAUCUGCAAGCAAGCUCAACAAGAAAAGAAAAAAAAGGUAAGGUAAAAGUGGUUAUAAAGUCCAUUUGGGAAGAGCAUUGAAGCAGGUAAGGCAAAGCCGAGUCCAAAGCUGUGUUGUGCUGACACACUCUUCAGAUAUUCAGAAAGGCUGGAAUGGAAAUUAAGAAAUUACAAGAGAAUAUGUCUGGAGGGAGGAAUGGAGACAGGGCAGUGUGAGAAGCAGCCAAAGAAACCAUGUACAGAGAAGCAGACAGAUAAAAUAAAGACCAGUGAGUCAAAAGAAGUGAGGCCAAUGAAGGAAGAAGGCAGCAGUGAAGACAAAGGAGUCAAAAAGGUUAAUAGACUGGAGAUCCCAAAAGGAGUGAGUGACAGGGUAGAGGAGAGAGACAGACAGAUAAGCUGCAAGAGAGCAGGUAGUGAUCAGAGAAAGGGAAUUUAGAAAUUAGAGAUAAUAAAGUGAGCAUUUAGUAAAGAUAAGGUCAUGGGAAUGAUUGAGGCAGUGAGAAAAAUCUAUCUAAAACUAGAAAUCACAGGCAUUGGGCUGGAAAAACAGAAUGAAGAACAAAGGAUUAAAGUACUGAUCAGGAGAAAGGAACUGGCCUGCCCAUAGGGAGGGAUGAAAUCUGAAAAGACAGAAACAGGUUGAGUUUAGCAAGAUCACAAAGAAAGAUGCAAACUAAUGACCACUAGGAAAACUAGACACAGAGGACUUCAAACCAGGAAGAGAGUAGAGCUGACAACAGGACUGAUGAAGCAGAAGCCAGGAGUCAUAAAACUUUAGUGGUGAAUAUGAAGUGGAAAAUACAUUUAAAAAAACAUCAGAGAAGGGAACAAAGGGUCAGAGAAGGGAAUAAAGUUUAAAAAACAACUCUAAACAUCUGUAUUUUAGUCAUGUUCAGAAACAUAAGCAGCACCCCACCAGGCAGGGUCAGCACCUCUGUUUCCCUCCUCACCAGAAAGAUUUCCUCACCCAGAGAUCAGAAUUUCAAAAGACCAACCCUGCCACUGGCUAGACAAUGUGAGGAUAUGGCAGGGUUGGGAAAGUUUUGACUAUUGAAGUAGAUAAAGACUAUUAAAGACUAUUAAAAAUUAUGGAAAAACAGUGAUUUGACCUCUGCCAUCCAGCACCUCUAUGUCUUCACAAAACAAGACCUGCGUUGACUCUUCCUCACAUCUUCCUGUUCCUACCAUCUCUCACAGCCAAUGCAGCAUUCACCAGCACUCCAACUCAGCUGUUAAGAUUGCCACCACACUGUGUAACAGCAAAGAUAAGAGAUUAAGCAGACAGAUUGCUGCAAACAAACAUCACUGCAAUUUUGGGUCCCAUUCAGAGGUAUCUGAGAACCACUGGCAUGAAAGUUCUCCAUUUCCAAGCUUCUGUCAAGAAUUCCAUUCUAUGGCUUUUCUCAUCAUGAGCAUGAAUAAAACACCAGCCUUCUCAGACACUUCUAAUACUGCAUUUCAUCUUCUGCUAUACUGGCAUGCUUUUAAAGUUUCUGCUCAUUACAAAAACACAACACACUUCUAUUGCCUGCUCAAACAAUUGGAACCUGGAUCAUUAGGAGUGCAACAGAAGAAGGGAAAAAACCCAAAUUAUUCCCUGCUACCAAACCAGUAACACACAGAGUAUAAAAAGUGAGCUGAGCACAUCAUUUCUAUCUACCCUACUGAUUACUGUUUGUUUCUGUAGAUGUGGUUGACUCAAAAUUACUGAAUUACAUAAAAACCAGCUGAAAUAUAAACAAGAGCUCACAGGACUGGGGCCUUAGUGGGAGUUCUUUGUUAUUUUUAUGCUUUAUCAAGUAUUUUAAUACGGCUUGAAAAGAGUU